UAGCAUUGGAGCUGGAUUAGGAAUGCAUUUAGCCUUGUGUAUCUUCUCCUCUAAAUUGCUUCAUGCCUCUAUUAUGUUGCCUCGUGGUUUAAGAGGUACCUUUUCAUUCCUCUUUGAUUUCAUUCCCAUGAUGUUGCCACCAUUUGAGUGUCUAUGAUGGCCCUUCUACCAAUCGGUCCUCUUCUACCUCAAUGGAUAUAUCAAUAGCCUUGAACAUCCUAUCCUUGCUUAGCUCAGACUCCUAUCCCUAGUGUAGUCGAUUGCCACUCUAAUUUGAAUGGAUUUGAGACAUCGAGCACCAUCACCUGGAUAACCUUGUUCCUUCUCCCUCUCUCAUAUUUGAUUUCCUCCAUAAUCUAAUGAUUUAAUUUGUGUCGAGCGAUCGUUCAGACACCGAACGAUCUAUCAUGGGUUCCACACCCAAACACUUUAAUUAUAGUAAAAGGCCAUAAUCACCUCAAUUAUUUAGUUUAGGUGUCAGUUUGGGAAGAACCUAGAGAUUAGGAUCAGUUUUAUAGAUUUUGAGGAGGAUAAUUAGUUUCUCUAUUUAUUCUAAAUUUUAAUAUCAAAUUGAUUUGGAUAUGUUAGGGGUAUACAUGGACGGAUAGGUACCUUGCUUGUUUUUGUCAUUGGUAGACGUAAGAAUCUCUUUACAUGCAUGCUUAUUUGUAUAUUAAUUCAGAAUAUGUCUAUGUGAUUCUAAUGUACGCAUAUAUGUUAUAGAAAAUAAAUGAAUUUAUAUUAUGUAUAGAAAUUACCAAUAUUUUGAAUUAUAUAAUGUGAACAUUUUAAUAUAUUUAACUAAUAAAAUGAGACUUGUAUAAUUGAAUGAUUGGAUGGGCUGCUUUUGACUGGUCAUAUUAUUAUGGAUUGCCCCAUCACGGGCAUCAAACAUGACACUCUCAAUUAUCUUAUCACAGGCGAGAAAUAUAUCUAUGGUUUAGUCCAAGGCCGAAUAUAACUUAAUAUAAUUAAUAUGCAUUCUUGAAAUAAAUGGAUGGGUGAAGGCCUUAGAUUAGCUAUGUUAUCUUGGAUUGCCGGUGAUAAAUUAGAGCGUGAUAUUGUGGAUAGCCUUGUCACAAUAGGAACGUGGUACUAUUGAUUGCCUUUGGUCAAGUGGGAGUGUCCGACAUCUCGGUCGGUUCAAUCAAGUUGAUUUUAUCUGAUUAUAGUUAAACUAGGGCACAAAUAGUUCAAGAAAAAUUGGAGGUGACCAAAUCUAAUAGUGUCUGGUAAGAGCUAAGGUGGGGGCUGGUAUAGUUUCCGACGGCCAUGGAUCAAAACCCCCAUCAUCAAGGUUGAUCAAAAUCAUUGAUAAGAGCCCUUUUGCUAGAUCCAACAACCCUAGAGAAAUCUAUAUAGAGGGAGAAAUAAGAUAGAGUGUGAGGAAGAGAGAGAAGAGAGAGAAAAAAAGAGAAAUAAGGUCUUUCUCUCUCCGACGGGGAAGAAGAGUUUGUAGAUGUGACUGUCAAUCGAAGGACUGACGAUUAGCCACCAUUAGUAGUGGCCGGUGGCAGCAGGUGGCCGGCGGCAAAGAAAUAAACUGGAGAAAGGAUUGGUCAAAUAGAGGAUGCAAUGGGUUUCUAAGUGAGCACAAUCGGUGCGAGAGGAUCAACCACAAGCUUCGACGACAAGUGCCGACAGCAAGGAUGACCGUAAAAGAAAAAAAGAGGGCUUGAAAUCAAAUCAAAAUAGAAGAACUAAAAGGGAUAAGGAGGGUGUAGAAAAGGAUUAAUUAGAGGAUUUGGGGGUCAUUACCUCGUUUUCCUGCGACGUACGGCCGCGGCGGUGGUGAAUGGUGUUUAGGAGAAAACUCAGACAAACUCUGGCGAACUCCAGCAACCUCCAUGUUUAGGCCCAAAUCUUCAGUGUGGGAUUGAAGGGGAAGUGGAAGGGCUCUAAAUAGAGCUCGAAAGAAUGCUAAAAUCUGUCUCGAUGUUGGAUUUCGUCUUAUGAUUCCAGGAAGAAGGAAACCCCAUCAGAAGUUUACUUCUCUCAUCAUAUGUGUUAGGCACGUGCCUUUUUUUUUUUCUAUUCUGUGCCGAUUUUUAUAUUUGAAUCGAUUAAAUGGAUUAGGCCUAGCUCUUUGUUGGCCCAAUUGGGCUGGAUGUUGUAGGUUAUAUGUUAUCAUCUUUUUCUCUUUUAUGGAUGGAAUUAAUGGCCAAGAAUCGAAUGAGAAAUAAAGGACUUGAUAAAUGCAUGGAUGAGUUCCUAUCCCUAACUUUUAUGUGGACAAGGCAUACAUGUGUUGCUAAAGGGCUCAUAUGAUAAGCUUGGCCCUUUUCAAGAGGUUGCCAAGUUGGACACCACCUGCCGAAGGGACUGGGUGCAAUGAAGGCCACUAAACUAGCACUCCAGCAUAGGUACAAGAAGACAUCAACAUGGUGGGACUUAGAAAGGGUGAUGCAUGUUGAAUAGCAGAAGUCAGGAUUGGGACAAAUUUCGAACCAAAAUCAUAUGAGAUGAGCACCAUAGAAGGAAAUAUGGAGAGGGACUUUUUUUGACACAUUUCCUCUUGCAUCUAUCUAAAAGAAGAAAUCCAAAAGUCAAAUAGGAUAAGAGGAUUUCUGUUAACGGAAUCUGUUAGUCUCCUAAUUUAAAGAAAGAAAAUUGCACAUGCUAAAAGAGACUAUUCGCAAAGAAUGACAAUCUACAUCCUCUUUUUUUCUCAUCAAGCCUCUCCUUCUAUCCUCUUCCUCAUCAAGUCGUCUUUCCCAUCUAUGAGGUCUUCCAUCUUUUUCCAAGUCAUUUUCUUCCUUUUUUGUGGAAACUAUGUAUUGAUUUACCUAAAGAUGUGUAUUGAAAUAUUGGAUGACUAUUUUGCUAAGUGUGUAUCAUCUGACAGUGUAGUGUGCACCGAUGAACAUCAUAUUCUAAAAAUUAUGUAUCGAUUUACCUGAAGUUAUAUAUUUGGUUGUUGUUGGGUGUGUAUCAGAAAAGUUUACAGUAUACAUCAGAAAAUCGACGAGUGUGUAUCACUUAGCCAUGUAGUAUGUACCGAUGAGCAUCAUAUUCUAGAAACUGUAUAUCGAUUUAACUAGAGGUGUGUACUGGGAUGAUGGAUGAUUAUAUUGCUAAGUGCGCAUCAACUCGCCAUAUACUAUGUACUGAUGAGCGUCCUACUUUAAAAAUUAUAUAUCGAUUUAUUUGGAGGUAUGUAUUAUGUUGCUACUAGAUAUGUAUAAAAGAAGCUUACAGUAUGUAUCAGAAAGCCGAUGAUUGUGUAUCACUUAACGAAGAAAAAAGAGAAUGCGAUGGUCUUUCUUCGCACACGGUCUUUAUUGGUAUGUGAAUUUUUUUCUUGUAUUUUUUUAAAGUUAUAGAAUUAACGGACUCCGUUAGUACAAGAAGUUCUAUCUUUAUUAGAUUUCUCGAUUUCCUCUUUAAUAUAGGUGUAAGAGGAAAUAUGGCAAAAAAAAAAGUCCUGCUCUAUAUUAUGAUAGUGCCUACCCCACAUGAUUUUUGUUCACAAAUUUCAUUGUAUUAUUCUAUAGGGCCUAUGUUGUGCACCUAGGAAUAAAUGCGUGUAUUAGAAAGUUUGGAUUGCAGAAAGAAACUACACAGAUGCCUUAGCAUGUGUUCUAGCAUGUGCAUUGUGCCAACAAAUACAUGUAUAAUAUUACCGAGACAAGGAAAUUUAUGAUAUUUGCAUUGCUCGACAUUCCAUAGCAUAUUUCACCGAAAAAAGAUUGCAUAUAUAGCAUAGAUAUGAUGGGGAUAUUUGCAUGUUCUUUUCUUUCUAAUUUAAAUUAAACCAAUCUGAAGUUUUGUACCUUGGCCUUAACCUCUUCAUUGAAUGGUCUAUUUUAUGUUCGCAGAAAAAUCUCUCCCAGGUUUAAACUAGUGCCGGUUAUCUGUCUGCCGGCACUGGUUUAAUUCACGUCGUCCAAUCUCUAUUAAGCUACCGAGCUACUGAUACCGUCUUCUUCUAAAAGACCAAUACCGUCAGGCAGAUUGCCGAACAAAUCGAACCCUAGGAGCCGGCCGUGUCCUGUCCGCCAUGGACGAGGCGCAGGAGAUCCUCCUGAGCUCUCUCAGCAGCUCCGGGGUCUCCCUCCCCGCCGGCGUCUCUUCCAUCAAAGAUCUCGGCCCGGACGCCCUCGUCUCCAUCUGCUCUCAAUCCCUCCGCCUCCUUGACGACGAUGAAUCGUCCCCGUCCUUCCCCACCUCCCUUCCUGAGUCCACCGCGGAGCGCUUCAAGAUAUGUGCCGACGUCGCCUCUGCCGUCAAAUCCCUGGGAUACCGAGGCGAUCUCAGCUUCCACCAGUUCCUGUAUCCUUCUUAUGAUGACUCAUACAAGUUGGUAAGAUUUUUGGUGGAGAGGCUAUCUGGAUCAUCUGAAGGUAGAAGAGCCAGAGAAAAUACAGCAACCAAAUCUACUUUGAGCAGUGGUGAAAUUACUGGUGACAUCCAUAAUGAUACAUUAGAGAAGCUUAAAGAAAAGGAGGAUAAGGUGAGGGAGAGUCAAAGUAAAGAGAAUUUUCUUUGUGAAAGAAGAUCUUUGGGGGAAUCAAAUAAAGGCAUUGCAGAGCCAUCUGAGACGGUUGCUGAGGAGGUAUACUCUGAUGUGUUGCUUGACACUAAUGCAGUUCCAGGGCAGUCAGGUGGGUCAGCUGAGACUGGAACACUCUAUUCUGAGCGCAUAGAAUCCAGUGAGAUCAAGAGCCAUUGCAGCAAGGAAGGUGUUGAAGAUGCUCCUGAAAAAUCUAUGAACUCUGAGAAAGAAUUAUGUGUUGAUGGAGAAGAUAUGACCCAAACAGACAAGUAUAUUGCUGAACUUGAACGAAAAUUAGCUUCUCUGCAGGAGCAAUUAUCCAAGUUAAGGAAUCAAGCUGACAGCUUGAAAAAUCAAGAAGAUAUGAUGACGGAGGCAAAACAGGUGAAGGCCUUGAAAGUUCAGAGCCUUGAAAGUGAGCAUGAGCUCCUAAAAGAGGCUAUGGAUAUGGCAUUAGAUGAACAACAUUCUGUUGGCUUCUAUAUUGAAAUGCUAAAUGGACGAGUAGAAGCAAAAAGACAGAGUCUUAUGAAAUUGGAAUCACAGUGGAAUGAUCUCAAGCAAACAGUGGAACAGAGACAGAUGAGAGAGGAGCAGUCACUAUAUGCUGAGAAAUCUUCAGUGCAAGAAAAACUAAUUAAAUUGAAAGAAAUUGAACAAGAAACAGAUGCCACCGUAUCUGACAUUGGCAAAAGAGAGGAUGAACAUGCUAAACUUCUUCUGGAGCUUGAGAAACUCCCAACGAUCUCUUCUAGAAAAUCCUACAUCCAGCGCAUAACUGAGAUUACAAAGAAUAGCUGGAAACAAGAUGCCGAUGUUGAGCGAAUCAUAAAAGAGACUCGAGAGCUUCAGUUAGAGAGUAAUUCCAUACAAGAACGCCUUCAUAGGACUUAUGCCGUGGUUGAAGAAACUGUCUUCAGGAAUGCAAAAGAUGACCCGGUAAGGCUGCAGGUAUAUAGGCUUUUAACGAGCAUCCACGAUAGUUUUGAACAGAUUUCAGACAAGCUUCUUGCCGCUGACAGAGCUCGAAGAGAAGCCACCGAGCAAGAGGCCAAACUUACGGCCAUUUCUUCCCGUAGUUUCGACAUCAGCAAACUCCAAGCAGAUCUUGAUUCGAUUAGGAAGGAAAAUGAGUUUCUAGAGCAGCAGCUCUGCCAUGAAUAAUCUCAAUGGCUCUUCCUUCUCUUGAAGAAAAAUGCUAUAGCUCACCCACUACUGAUCACCACUUGGUUCACUGGGGAAUGUGGAGGUCAGUGAUUGGCCGAGCAUAGGCAUGGGCCCGACUAACACUACCGACCCCACCAUGUUUGGCACCAAUCCCCAACAGCCACAUCCAGGGUGAACCAAGCAGCGAUCAUCAGCAGACUGUGGAUGCCAGCUAAGAAUCUUGUGCAAAUCCUUGCAACAACAGUAGUUACAUUAGCAGCAUUCAGUUCGACUGUUACCGAUGGCUUGGCAUUCAAUUUACAAGGGAGCUACCAUACCUCUUGGAGGUGUCUAUGUGGCUGCAGCAGUGUAUACAUAUCUAUGUAUUUCAGGAUGUUUAUGUGGUUGGUUGUGCAUAUGAUUUUAAGACUGGUUUAAAGGUAUGAAAUUAUCCAUUCUGUCAGGUUCCGGUAGAUAUGUUUGUGUUGUUCCAGAUGAUGUGGAAUGACUGGUUGCGAUGGAGUGAUUCCCUCUGGCCAUCAGCCAUUUUAGAGCAAAUGGUGUCCUGCAGCUGUGUGUGAAGUGGUUGGCCGAGCUAAAAGCGUGGAAUUUCUGCAAGGGUUGCACCUUACCAUGACUCCCUUAAAAAGACGAAAAAUGUCUAAAAUAAUCUAAGUUAUAUAACACAGACGUUGGCUAUCCUUGAUGCUGGGUCUCUCCUAAAAUUAAGUGGGUCCGUAUGUCUCAUUUCUCUUCUACAAACAGUAUUUUUGCACUAAUUAUAUGUCCCACAUUUACUCUCUAAUAAAUAGCCAAAUAAAGUAGA
Non-coding RNA from Phoenix dactylifera (date palm), 6467 nucleotides. Lineage: Eukaryota; Viridiplantae; Streptophyta; Magnoliopsida; Arecales; Arecaceae. The record is from RefSeq and is a predicted model, not a curated record.